This 338-nucleotide unclassified non-coding RNA is filed under the name soil metagenome. RNAcentral describes it as "partial contains 5.8S ribosomal RNA, internal transcribed spacer 2, and large subunit ribosomal RNA". The stretch from base 2 to 119 matches the Rfam family "5.8S ribosomal RNA", at positions 37 to 154 of the family's 154-position model. The record is from RNAcentral.
GUGAAGAACGCAGCGAAAUGCGAUAAGUAGUGUGAAUUGCAGAAUUCAGUGAAUCAUCGAAUCUUUGAACGCACAUUGCACCUCUCGGUAUUCCGGGAGGUAUGCCUGUUCGAGCGUCAUUUGUACCCUCAAGCUCUGCUUGGUGUUGGGUGUUUGUUCCGCCUCUGUGUGUGAACUCGCCUCAAAACAAUUGGCAGCCGGCGUACUUGUUUCGGAGCGCAGCACAUUUUGCGAUCCAGAUCAACGUACAGCGGCAUCCAAGAAGCCUUAUUUAACGCUCUUGACCUCGGAUCAGGUAGGGAUACCCGCUGAACUUAAGCAUAUCAAUAAGCGGAGGA